AUAACUUAAUCUUUUAAAUUAAAUGCUUUAUCAUGUUUCAUGCAUCAUGAUUAUGCAAUAGGAUGAUUGCAUUAGUUUUCACGAAUAUGCCGCAUUGCAUAAAUUGUUGUUGUUGUGGGUGAAUGUCGGAUGACCCAGUUAGUCCAUGACAGGAAGACCAGGCCCCAUGCUACAGGCCUGGCACAGAGUAAGAAAGACCAGGCCCCAGUCUACAGGCCUGGCACAGAGUAAGGAAAGACCAGGAUUCCAUCCUAUGGUCUAGCACGGUUAUGGGACUUGAAGACCAGGAGCCAGAGGAGGCCCUGGGAAAAUGGUAAGUAAUGUAUGUUCUGACAGG
RNAcentral lists this long non-coding RNA (337 nucleotides) under Manihot esculenta (cassava). Its description in RNAcentral is "long non-coding RNA (MESC_LNC009970)". The record is from RNAcentral. Lineage: Eukaryota; Viridiplantae; Streptophyta; Magnoliopsida; Malpighiales; Euphorbiaceae.